Molecule: ribosomal RNA, 200 nt
Filed under: Exophiala pisciphila
Lineage: Eukaryota; Fungi; Ascomycota; Eurotiomycetes; Chaetothyriales; Herpotrichiellaceae
Description: partial large subunit ribosomal RNA
Rfam family: Eukaryotic large subunit ribosomal RNA
Source: RNAcentral
AGUAACGGCGAGUGAAGCGGCAACAACUCAAAUUUGAAAUCUGGCCUCUUUGGGGUCCGAGUUGUAAUUUGUAGAGGAUGUUUCGGGUACCGCCUCGGUUUAAAUUUCUUGGAACAGAAUGUCAAAGAGGGUGAGAAUCCCGUCUUGGACCGGCGGUAGGGCCCAUGUGAAACUCCUUCGACGAGUCGAGUUGUUUGGGA